GUCUUUUAAUUGAAGUCUGGUAUGAAUGGUUGGAUGAGAAAUUUACUUUCUUUAUUUUAAAAAAAUAAAUUGAUUUUUAAGUCAAAAAGCUUAAAUUUAUUUAGAGGACGAGAAGACCCUAUAGAACUUUACUUAUCUUAUUUUGGUUUUUAUUUGUAAAUGACUUUUUAUCACUUUUAGAUAAGUUUUAUUGGGGUGAUAAAAAAAAUUUUUUAACUUUUUUUACUUUUUUCAUUUAUUUAUGUUUUUUUGAUCCUUUUUUAUGGAAAAAAAGUCUAAGUUACCUUAGGGAUAACAGCGUUAUUAUUUUAGAGAGUUCAUAUUGAUAAAAUAGUUUGCGACCUCGAUGUUGGAUUAAAAUUAGUAUCGGGUGUAGAAUAUUGAUUACUGGGUCUGUUCGACCCUUAAUUUUUUACA
This 417-nucleotide ribosomal RNA is filed under the name Plagiognathus collaris. RNAcentral's name for it is "partial 16S ribosomal RNA". Lineage: Eukaryota; Metazoa; Arthropoda; Insecta; Hemiptera; Miridae. The record is from RNAcentral.